AUAAAGAAGGCUGAGGAGACGCUAGGACCGUUCUUUGCUGACCGUCCAGAGAUGCACAAGGCAUUCGAGCUGUGCGUGGACCACAGUUUGACGGUCGAGGAGUUUGAAAGGAGCUGGAUGGCCAUGGUUGAAAUACAUCAAGUCGAAGACAACAAGACACUUGGUAGUCUGUGGGAGAAGCGAAUGUACUGGGUGCCCGCCUACUUCAUGCAGUGCUUCUUCCCCUUUCUGCAGACUACGUAGUGCAGCGAGGGGUUCAAUGCUGUUUUGAAGCGAUACGUGAGCCCUGGCAACUCAUUGCUACAGUUUGCUAAGCAGUACACAACUCUGCAACAAAAAAUUCUGGGAUCUGAGCUACAGUAA
This 363-nucleotide ribosomal RNA is filed under the name Triticum aestivum (bread wheat). RNAcentral describes it as "partial small subunit ribosomal RNA". Lineage: Eukaryota; Viridiplantae; Streptophyta; Magnoliopsida; Poales; Poaceae. The record is from RNAcentral.